CUCCCAGUCUCUGUUGCAGACCUGGGUGAACCUGCAGUAUUUUCUUUCUGUGAUCAGGCUCCAUGUGGACUAUGCUGCUUGCCUGACUCUAAGAGGAUUGUAACAAUGAACUGAGGCCAGGGGAACAUGAG
RNAcentral lists this small nucleolar RNA (131 nucleotides) under Dipodomys ordii (Ord's kangaroo rat). RNAcentral describes it as "small Cajal body-specific RNA 17 (ENSDORG00000022702.2)". The record is from RNAcentral. Lineage: Eukaryota; Metazoa; Chordata; Mammalia; Rodentia; Heteromyidae.